AAACCAAAAAGAAAAAAAAAAGAAGCUAUGUUUUUUCCAGGGCACAAUUUAUCCAUUGCAUCUGAAUGUGCUGACCCCUGAAAUUGCUCCAAAUGGGGGAACCUUACUGAGUAAUUUGUGAUAGCAGGGGACUAUGUUGACACUCUCCUUUG
This 152-nucleotide small nuclear RNA is filed under the name Jaculus jaculus (lesser Egyptian jerboa). Its description in RNAcentral is "U1 spliceosomal RNA (ENSJJAG00000002488.1)". It matches the Rfam family "U1 spliceosomal RNA", at positions 18 to 166 of the family's 166-position model. Rfam says of the family: U1 is a small nuclear RNA (snRNA) component of the spliceosome (involved in pre-mRNA splicing). Its 5' end forms complementary base pairs with the 5' splice junction, thus defining the 5' donor site of an intron. The record is from RNAcentral. Lineage: Eukaryota; Metazoa; Chordata; Mammalia; Rodentia; Dipodidae.